Molecule: ribosomal RNA, 245 nt
Filed under: uncultured bacterium
Lineage: Bacteria
Description: partial 16S ribosomal RNA
Rfam family: Bacterial small subunit ribosomal RNA
Source: RNAcentral
UACGUAGGGUGCCAGCGUUGUUCGGAAUCACUGGGCGUAAAGGGCGUGUAGGCGGAUUGUUAAGUCAGGUGUGAAAUCCCACAGCUUAACUGUGGAACUGCGCUUGAAACUGGCAAUCUAGAGUACGGUAUAGGGUGAUAGAAUUCCUAGUGUAGUGGUGAAAUACGUAGAGAUUAGGAGGAAUACCGGAGGCGAAGGCGAUCACCUGGGCCUGUACUGACGCUAAGGCGCGAAAGCGCGGGGAG